This 253-nucleotide ribosomal RNA is filed under the name uncultured bacterium. RNAcentral describes it as "partial 16S ribosomal RNA". It matches the Rfam family "Bacterial small subunit ribosomal RNA", at positions 524 to 776 of the family's 1533-position model. The record is from RNAcentral.
GACAGAGGCCUCGAGCGUUAGGCGGAAUCACUGGGCUUAAAGCGUGUGUAGGCGGGCCCGUAAGUGUCGUGUGAAAUCCCACGGCUCAACCGUGGAACUGCUGGGCAUACUGCGGGUCUUGGGCCAACUAGGGGCAGCCGGAACAAGCGGUGGAGCGGUGAAAUGCGUAGAUAUCGCUUGGAACGCCGAAGGUGAAAACAGGCUGCUGGGGUUGCGCCGACGCUGAGACACGAAAGCCAGGGGAGCAAACGGG